Molecule: long non-coding RNA, 877 nt
Filed under: Theobroma cacao (cacao)
Lineage: Eukaryota; Viridiplantae; Streptophyta; Magnoliopsida; Malvales; Malvaceae
Description: long non-coding RNA (TCAC_LNC005712)
Source: RNAcentral
ACCAUUGGCUUACCACAUUAAUUACACUCUAACAUCUUGAAUUGCUUUCCUGUUUACUGUGAUUAUUGCACUCAAGUGAAUCGACAAGUUAAAUAAAACGGCCCAUCGUUUUUGUUUCAGUGCAUGCCUUUCCUGGUGUCCAUGUUCACCUAUGUAUAAAUAGCAGGUUUUAAUAUCAAAAAUUGGUAAGAAUCUCAAAGUCAUGAGGAAUCAUUUUCGAGAAGAAAGACAGUUUCAGUGCUAAUGAAUGGUUUAUGCAAUUCUCAACAAGUGAAGAACAAGUCAAGUAAAAAGGGGUAAGCAACUCGGAUUUUUGGUAAUGAGGUUCUCACGUUGCAUAAAAGGAAGAAAAAAAGAAGGCCUUUACGCAUGAGUGAAAUGAUCUUUUUCUACUUGGAACCAAAAAGGAAGAAAGAAAAGAAAAUGAUCAUCUCUUUCUCACAUGACAUGUGAAGUGAGGACAACAGCCGAAAGGUAUUGGAAACCAUGCAUGACACCACACGUGCAGAGGAGCGUGCAAAGACAACACUGUUUAACUUGAGACCAUAGCAAUGAGCAAAGGUUAGAGAAAAAGAAAAGCUUUGUACAAAGGCAGGGAAACAAUCAAACAGACAGUAGUGAGCCUGAAAAUUAAAAGCCUGAUUGCAUUUGAUAUCGUGAUUAAGGGGCAGACAAGGCAUCUUUGUUCGACACAAAGCUCCUCUCUCCAUUUAUAGACUUCUUGCAAAUCCAAGCAAAUGCCUACUCCGCCCAUCUUUUCACAAAGUUGUUUUCCUAGGGAACACAAAUUCAUGUCUCUAUUUCAAAUUUCAUUUGUUGUAGGGACUGCCCACCUCUUGUUACCUUCUGAUUAUUUGCUUUAGUUGGAUUCACCUCC